RNAcentral lists this ribosomal RNA (500 nucleotides) under uncultured bacterium. RNAcentral describes it as "bacterial SSU rRNA". It matches the Rfam family "Bacterial small subunit ribosomal RNA", at positions 355 to 851 of the family's 1533-position model. The record is from RNAcentral.
UUAAGAAUCUUGCGCAAUGGGCGAAAGCCUGACGCAGCGACGCCGCGUGAACGAUGAAGGCCUUCGGGUUGUAAAGUUCAACAAACAGGGAAGAAUAAGUUCAGUAUAAUACACUGAGCGAUGACGGUACCUGUCUGAAGCCUCGGCUAACUACGUGCCAGCAGCCGCGGUAACACGUAUGAGGCGAGCGUUGUUCGGAAUUAUUGGGCGUAAAGGGCGUGUAGGCGGGGGAUUAAGUUAGGUGUGAAAUCCAUGGGCUCAACCCAUGAAUUGCAUCUAAUACUGGUUCUCUUGAGUUCGGGAGAGGAGAGCGGAAUUCCCGGUGUAGCGGUGAAAUGCGUAGAUAUCGGGAAGAACACCAGUGGCGAAGGCGGCUCUCUGGCCUAGAACUGACGCUGAUACGCGAAAGCGUGGGGAGCGAACGGGAUUAGAUACCCCGGUAGUCCACGCCGUAAACGUUGUAUACUAGGUGUUAGCGGAUUUAUCCGUUAGUGCCGCAG